CCGCCAUUAGCUCAUCAGGAAGAGCAGACGACAACCAGGAUUGUUGUAUGGUACGGGUUCGAGGCCUCGAUGGCGGUCCA
Molecule: transfer RNA, 80 nt
Filed under: Escherichia coli
Lineage: Bacteria; Pseudomonadati; Pseudomonadota; Gammaproteobacteria; Enterobacterales; Enterobacteriaceae
Description: tRNA-OTHER
Source: RNAcentral